Molecule: ribosomal RNA, 463 nt
Filed under: Prevotella melaninogenica
Lineage: Bacteria; Pseudomonadati; Bacteroidota; Bacteroidia; Bacteroidales; Prevotellaceae
Description: bacterial SSU rRNA
Rfam family: Bacterial small subunit ribosomal RNA
Source: RNAcentral
GAUGAACGCUAGCUACAGGCUUAACACAUGCAAGUCGAGGGGAAACGGCAUUGAGUGCUUGCACUCUUUGGACGUCGACCGGCGCACGGGUGAGUAACGCGUAUCCAACCUUCCCAUUACUGUGGGAUAACCUGCCGAAAGGCAGACUAAUACCGCAUAGUCUUCGAUGACGGCAUCAGAUUUGAAGUAAAGAUUUAUCGGUAAUGGAUGGGGAUGCGUCUGAUUAGCUUGUUGGCGGGGUAACGGCCCACCAAGGCUACGAUCAGUAGGGGUUCUGAGAGGAAGGUCCCCCACAUUGGAACUGAGACACGGUCCAAACUCCUACGGGAGGCAGCAGUGAGGAAUAUUGGUCAAUGGACGGAAGUCUGAACCAGUCAAGUAGCGUGCAGGAUGACGGCCCUAUGGGUUGUAAACUGCUUUUGUAUGGGGAUAAAGUUAGGGACGUGUCCCUAUUUGCAGGUAC